CGCUAAGAAGCUAUGAAUCAGCACUAGCCUUUUAAGCUAGAAAAAGAGGGGCCUCACCCCUCCUUAGUGA
This 70-nucleotide transfer RNA is filed under the name Athene brama. RNAcentral's name for it is "tRNA-Lys". The record is from RNAcentral. Lineage: Eukaryota; Metazoa; Chordata; Aves; Strigiformes; Strigidae.